Molecule: ribosomal RNA, 460 nt
Filed under: uncultured bacterium
Lineage: Bacteria
Description: partial 16S ribosomal RNA
Rfam family: Bacterial small subunit ribosomal RNA
Source: RNAcentral
CCUACGGGAGGCAGCAGUGAGGAAUAUUGGUCAAUGGGCGUAAGCCUGAACCAGCCAAGUCGCGUGAGGGAUGAAGGUUCUAUGGAUCGUAAACCUCUUUUAUCAGGGAAUAAAGUGUGGGACGUGUCCUGUUUUGUAUGUACCUUAUGAAUAAGGAUCGGCUAACUCCGUGCCAGCAGCCGCGGUAAUACGGAGGAUCCGAGCGUUAUCCGGAUUUAUUGGGUUUAAAGGGUGCGUAGGCGGCCUUUUAAGUCAGCGGUGAAAGUCUGUGGUUCAACCAUAGAAUUGCCGUUGAAACUGGGAGGCUUGAGUAUGUUUGAGGCAGGCGGAAGGCGUGGUGUAGCGGUGAAAUGCUUAGAUAUCACGCAGAACCCCGAUUGCGAAGGCAGCCUGCCAAGCCAUGACUGACGCUGAUGCACGAAAGCGUGGGGAUCAAACAGGAUUAGAUACCCCUGUAGUC